Molecule: ribosomal RNA, 484 nt
Filed under: uncultured bacterium
Lineage: Bacteria
Description: partial 16S ribosomal RNA
Rfam family: Bacterial small subunit ribosomal RNA
Source: RNAcentral
GAUGAACGCUGGCGGCGUGCUUAACACAUGCAAGUCGAACGGUGAAGCAGGAGCUUGCCCUUGUGGAUCAGUGGCGAACGGGUGAGUAACACGUGGGCAACAUGUCCCUGACACUGGGAUAAGCGCUGGAAACGGUGUCUUAAACAGGAUAUAUGAUCUGACCACAAAGUCUGCAUCCGGAGUGAAUUUCGGUUGGGGAUGGGCUCGCGGCCUAUCAGCUUGUUGGUGAGGUAAUGGCUAACCAAGGCGUCGGCGGGUAGCCGGCCUGAGAGGGGGACCGGCCACACUGGGACUGAGACACGGCCCAGACUCCUACGGGAGGCAGCAGUGGGGAAUAUUGCACAAUGGGCGGAAGCCUGAUGCAGCAACGCCGCGUGAGGGAUGACGGCCUUCGGGUUGUAAACCUCUUUUAGCAGGGAAGAAGCGAAAGUGACGGUACCUGCAGAAAAAGCACCGGCUAACUACGUGCCAGCAGCCGCCGUAA